AGAACGAACGCUGGCGGCAUGCCUAACACAUGCAAGUCGAACGAGACCUUCGGGUCUAGUGGCGCACGGGUGCGUAACGCGUGGGAAUCUGCCCUUGGGUUCGGAAUAACAGCGAGAAAUUGCUGCUAAUACCGGAUGAUGACGUAAGUCCAAAGAUUUAUCGCCCAAGGAUGAGCCCGCGUAGGAUUAGCUUGUUGGUGAGGUAAGAGCUCACCAAGGCACGAUCCUUAGCUGGUCUGAGAGGAUGAUCAGCCGCACUGGGACUGAGACACGGCCCAGACUCCGUACGGGAGCAGCGAGUAGGGGAAUAGUUGGACAAGUGGGACGAAAGCCUAGAUCCAGCAAUGCGCGUGAGUGA
RNAcentral lists this ribosomal RNA (358 nucleotides) under uncultured soil bacterium. RNAcentral describes it as "bacterial SSU rRNA". It matches the Rfam family "Bacterial small subunit ribosomal RNA", at positions 26 to 408 of the family's 1533-position model. The record is from RNAcentral.